Molecule: ribosomal RNA, 408 nt
Filed under: uncultured bacterium
Lineage: Bacteria
Description: bacterial SSU rRNA
Rfam family: Bacterial small subunit ribosomal RNA
Source: RNAcentral
AUUGAACGCUGGCGGCAUGCUUUACACAUGCAAGUCGAGCGGCAGCGCGGGGGCAACCCUGGCGGCGAGCGGCGAACGGGUGAGUAACGCAUCGGAACGUAUCCUGUAGUGGGGAAUAACUCAUCGAAAGGUGAGCUAAUACCGCAUAAGCUCUGAGGAGGAAAGCGGGGGACCGAAAGGCCUCGCGCUGCAGGAGCGGCCGAUGUCCGAUUAGCUAGUUGGUGAGGUAAAGGCUCACCAAGGCGACGAUCGGUAGCUGGUCUGAGAGGAUGAUCAGCCACACUGGGACUGAGACACGGCCCAGACUCCUACGGGAGGCAGCAGUGGGGAAUUUUGGACAAUGGGGGAAACCCUGAUCCAGCCAUGCCGCGUGAGUGAAGAAGGCCUCGGUGUAAGCUCUUCGUACGG